AUAAAAUACAACUUACAUUUCAAUAUUAAGGAUGAACACGAAUGCGGCCACUUUCGUUUUACACGAAAACCGUCUGAAAUUUAACUAAAAUGCUAGAAUUAUGAGGAUUUCAGUAAUUUAGCAUGACUUAAUGGUGCUAGUACCGGAUAUAUGUGCAUUGUAUUGUCAAAAACAGCCCAUAUUUAUGUAGCAGAAGCAUUCUACUGUCCAAUAAAUAACUAAAGGUUUACAUUUUAACAAUUUUGUAAAACUGCUAUAUUUUGGGGCCAAAAAGGGGUCUUACUGAACCUACUCCUUUAAAUAUAU
This 306-nucleotide long non-coding RNA is filed under the name Mytilus galloprovincialis (Mediterranean mussel). The record is from RNAcentral. Lineage: Eukaryota; Metazoa; Mollusca; Bivalvia; Mytilida; Mytilidae.